UACGGGGGGGGCAAGCGUUGUUCGGAAUUACUGGGCGUAAAGGGCUCGUAGGUUGCCAACUAAGUCGGACGUGAAAUCCCUCAGCUUAACUGGGGAACUGCGUCCGAUACUGGAUGGCUUGAGUUUGGGAGAGGGAUGCGGAAUUCCAGGUGUAGCGGUGAAAUGCGUAGAUAUCUGGAGGAACACCGGUGGCGAAGGCGGCUCUCUGGACGGAUACUGACGCUGAGGCGCGAAAGCGUGGGGAUCAAACAGG
RNAcentral lists this ribosomal RNA (253 nucleotides) under uncultured bacterium. RNAcentral's name for it is "partial 16S ribosomal RNA". It matches the Rfam family "Bacterial small subunit ribosomal RNA", at positions 524 to 776 of the family's 1533-position model. The record is from RNAcentral.